RNAcentral lists this ribosomal RNA (245 nucleotides) under uncultured bacterium. Its description in RNAcentral is "partial 16S ribosomal RNA". It matches the Rfam family "Bacterial small subunit ribosomal RNA", at positions 335 to 600 of the family's 1533-position model. The record is from RNAcentral.
ACCCUACGGGGGGCAGCAGUCGGGAAUAUUGCGCAAUGGAGGAAACUCUGACGCAGUGACGCCGCGUAUAGGAAGAAGGUUUUCGGAUUGUAAACUAUUGUCGUGAGGGAAGAAGAUGACAGUACCUCAGGAGGAAGCUGGCUAACUAUGUGCCAGCAGCCGCGGUAAUACAUAUGGGGCAAGCGUGAUCCGGAAUUAUUGGGUGUAAAGGGUGCGUAGACAGAGAAACAAGUUGGUUGUGAAAU